This 45-nucleotide non-coding RNA is filed under the name Trichobilharzia regenti. The record is from RNAcentral. Lineage: Eukaryota; Metazoa; Platyhelminthes; Trematoda; Strigeidida; Schistosomatidae.
AUUCAACUGACGAGUCCCAAGUAGAACGAAAUGUGCAUGUUGGAU